AUAAGAGACUUAGAAGAAGAACUGUUGUCCCUCUGCAUUAUCCAGCUCGUUUGAUAAUUUUUCCACCUAACGUCCAUCCAAAACAACUUGAUUCCCCAGAGGAGGCUUGGAAAUUUGUCAACUAACUUAACUACUGUCGUAUCACAGUAUUGGAGGGAAAUGAGGAAUCGUUGUGUUCUGAGUUUCAUGGAGAAAUGGCUCACUCCAGACAUGACAGCUAUGUUGGCAAGACCCAAAGGCUUCUCAGUACACGAGAGAUACUGAAUUGCUGAUUUGGAGAAGGCAAGAGGUAGGGGGUUCUUUUGAAGACCCUGAUCUGGAGUUACACGCUAACUAUGGUUCUUUGCAAGAAUGGGUCUCAGGGUUCCAUAACUGGCUGUUGUUCAGCACACCAAAGGCUCGGCUUAAGAGUCCGGCUUGAAUUCUGAAGCCUAGGAUGUCACGGCUCUGGAAUCAAGUGGAUCAAGGAUUGGUGUUACAACAGGAGACCAGUGUGUCAUCGGAAGAGUCGGAAUAUCUGCUGUGUGCAUGGAGACUUAUUAAGGAGAGAGAGAACCUGCAGUAUGUUGAAUACCUGUGAA
This is a long non-coding RNA of Hypanus sabinus (Atlantic stingray), 581 nucleotides long. RefSeq lists it as uncharacterized. Lineage: Eukaryota; Metazoa; Chordata; Chondrichthyes; Myliobatiformes; Dasyatidae. The record is from RefSeq and is a predicted model, not a curated record. The transcript is spliced from 3 exons.